UUUCAAUCUGACCUGUGCUACCAGGGUAGUUGCAUUAUCAAUUUACUGGAUCUUUUCUGUACAAAUGUUACUAGAUUACCAAAGAUACUAAAAUUACUAGAGUUACGCACUGGGACACUAGAUUUAAUGAUUUAAUCUAGUAUAUCCUCUCAUAUUUCAGGGCUUUUGCCAGCUUCAGAUUGGAACAUUUAAGUGUAGAAACUCUUCCAGAUGUCUACAAAAAAAACGCGGGGAAAGCAAUCGAAACAUCUUUUGCUGUAAGUGUUGCAGAGUUUGUGCAUGUUCCAGGGAAAUGCUGGUUAAAUGUACUCGAGUCCCUGCCAGCAAACUGCGCAGACGCAGCUGUCGAACUGUUUACCAAGUGGUUAGGUGAUGAAAUUGCAACGUUCCACAGCGGAAUAUACUCCAAGGUUCUAGAUGAGCCCUCCAUGUAUACAUUCCUACAAGAGAGGAGCUUAUGCCGCACUUUCGUGGAUUACAUACGGAAACACUCCUCAUCGCCAACGGCAGAAACUACCAGACUCUCCGUAUCUCUCUGCCUGCGGAUUCUGUCCAGCGAUCUUCCAAAACCGUUACCUCCGUUAAAGUGGGCCUUUUUAUCUAACUACAUGAAUGAGGGAUCAGUUGAGCUGAAAAUGUAUGCAACUAAGCUUGUUAUCAAACAGUCUAUGCAUAAAUCUUCUUCUGCGAAUAAUGUGCUGGAGGCCAAGUUGUCAAACUUGGAGUUCUCUGAAGAGACGGAAAUAGAAAUACUCAACAUUUUUCAGUCUCUGAAAGGCGUAAUGAAGAGUGUCCACCCUACAACUUGUCAAGGAUUCUUAUCGAUGAGUCUGCAGUAUACCAAAGCAAAAUAAGGAGCGAUG
Molecule: long non-coding RNA, 863 nt
Filed under: Bemisia tabaci
Lineage: Eukaryota; Metazoa; Arthropoda; Insecta; Hemiptera; Aleyrodidae
Description: lncRNA ENSSSA3NGG010674
Source: RNAcentral